This is a long non-coding RNA of Amblyraja radiata (thorny skate), 246 nucleotides long. RefSeq lists it as uncharacterized. The transcript has 3 exons. NCBI's taxonomy places the organism in Eukaryota, Metazoa, Chordata, Chondrichthyes, Rajiformes, Rajidae. The record is from RefSeq and is a predicted model, not a curated record.
ACCCUUCUUCACAUUUUGCUGUUCUUGCAACUUCUAUCAUUACGGCCGUUUUCCGCAUGUCGAGAACUGGUAUUUACCGCCACCUAGUGUGCACUAUGCAAACUGUGCAGCUCAUCAUUAAUGGCCAACAUUAAUCUUUCUGCUAAAGAUUUUUCAAUGGACUGCAGGAUAAAAGCAUGCUUCCACAUUGUCACUCGUUAUAUCUGUUCCAAGUUUAGCAUCUCCCUGAUUUAACACCCCUCAGAC